UAAUUCCUGCGGUGUGCGUGUUACUGGAAAUGUCUUGAGCCAACGUUCUUAUCCCGCGAGAGGCUGCUCCAGACCGGCGGAAGCGACGCAAGUUGCUCAAGCUAAGGACUGGGGGCUUCUCAUCCUUUUAGGAGCGGGUCAAGACACUCCGUCCACGGCAUUGCGGGUCUUAU
Molecule: non-coding RNA, 173 nt
Filed under: Synergistaceae bacterium
Lineage: Bacteria; Thermotogati; Synergistota; Synergistia; Synergistales; Synergistaceae
Description: 6S RNA
Rfam family: 6S / SsrS RNA
About the family: E. coli 6S RNA was the first non coding RNA to be sequenced, but its function was unknown until recently. It consists of 184 nucleotides that fold into an extended hairpin structure with a large single-stranded internal bulge. The 6S RNA specifically associates with RNA polymerase holoenzyme containing the sigma70 specificity factor.
Source: RNAcentral